This 23-nucleotide small nuclear RNA is filed under the name Arabidopsis thaliana (thale cress). Its description in RNAcentral is "snRNA_10178". Lineage: Eukaryota; Viridiplantae; Streptophyta; Magnoliopsida; Brassicales; Brassicaceae. The record is from RNAcentral.
UUGGCGCGUAAAGUUCGUGUCUA